RNAcentral lists this ribosomal RNA (119 nucleotides) under Oryza sativa Indica Group (long-grained rice). The record is from RNAcentral. Lineage: Eukaryota; Viridiplantae; Streptophyta; Magnoliopsida; Poales; Poaceae.
GGAUGCGAUCAUACCAGCACUAAAGCACCGGAUCCCAUCAGAACUCCGAAGUUAAGCGUGCUUGGGCGAGAGUAGUACUAGGCCGGGUGACCUCCUGGGAAGUCCUCGUGUUGCAUCCC